Molecule: long non-coding RNA, 2005 nt
Organism: Bos taurus (domestic cattle)
Lineage: Eukaryota; Metazoa; Chordata; Mammalia; Artiodactyla; Bovidae
Source: Ensembl
GCGAUACCUGGCUCCUGGGGUUUUCCCCAAAGCAGAGCCGCCACCGUGAUGACUUGCCGGGAAGCCUUCAAGGAGUCACUACUCCCAGACAGGUGGUUUGGGACAAUGUUCCCAGCAGCUGCUGAGACCACUUUUGGGGGGAGAGUCUCCCUGUCUCUCCCCUGCGCAGCACUGGCGGCAGUGUAUGCUUCUCCUUGGUGGAAUGGAAUCAUGCCUCUGGACAAGCUGACAAGCCCCGUGACCCAUCUCCUGAAGGAUGUGAUGAUUAAAAGUAAAAUGGAAUCAAACUGCAUGAAUAAUUGGAAAACUAAAUCAUCACUUUCUGAGUGGGAUGCAGAAGUGACUCGAGGUCAGGAGCUUGUUCUCCUGUCUCCACAAUGGCUCCCUGUUGAGAAAAUACUCGGUGUCCCAGAGGCAGAGUGGAGAGAGGAACAGGUGUGCUGGCAAGGACAGAAUGCCACGCAGGAUCCAUGGGGAGACUUUCUGCAGGCCAGCUUCCAGUCUGUUCCCGGUGUCGUUCGUCUUCGAACAAGCUCACGCUCUAUUUGUGGCAGGUGGCAGAAGCACAAGAAGCCCAGCUACAGGGAAGCACGGUUAAAGCCUCUGCUCACGUCAUCUUUGCUCACAUCCUAUUGGCCAGAGCAAGUCACAUGGCCAACAUCAACUGGACCAGGAUGUAAAUUUCUCCCACGGAAGUUGAGAGAAGCCAGGACAAGGGCCAGGAAGGAAGGUAGAGUUGUGGACAAACCCUAUAAUCUAUCACAGACUCACAUUUUAGAAAUAUUGCCUUUAGGAAAGGAAUCAUUUAUAUUCCCAUCUCUCCCUUUAAAAAGUAUAGAAUCUCCCAUCCACGGGGUAACUAAAUCUAUGCAUUUAAUUCUCUUCUCCCAUUUCUUUUUUUUUUUUUUUAAUUUGGCUGUGCCAGGUCUUAGUUGUGGCAUGUCAACUCUUAGUUUCGGCAUGUGGGGCUUAAUUUCCUGACAAGAGAUCAAAACUGUAUUGGGAGUGCAGAAUACUCCCCUGUAUUGGGAGUGCAGAAUCUUAGCCAUUGGACUACCAGGGAAGUCCCUCUUCUUCCAUUUUGAAGUCUCCAUCAAAGUAGCUAAUUGAGCUUAGGGUCAAAAAUUCUAAAUUGCAACAGGAAACCAGAAGAGGAGCAAACACAGGCCUAAAACUUAAAAACUGGAAAAUCACAGACAAAGGGAACCCUGGAAGCAGUGCUAGCCUUUCCACUGUCUGCUAAAUGGGCUUUUAAGAAAAACCCAACUGGAAAUGAAGUGAUGGGAUCCCAGGAAACCCCCUGCCAGCGCCCAAUGGAAUAGGGUUCUUGGCUGGGUGACCUCACUCUCUGCAGAGCUCACCCUUGCACUGAGCCUGUGGGAAGCAAGCUCAGGUACACGGGCCUUGCUGAGAAAGGCUCCUGCGUGGGCAGGUGGGCUGAUCAGUGAGCAGAGCCAGACCCUGUAGCUUUGGUCAGCCGACGUGGGCAUGGCAGGGAAACGCCCCCCACACAGCAGGCACUCCCGAAGCAGGGGUCUCCCACCAUGGAGAGGGACCUGCUGCAGGGUUCAGUCCCCUCUGUAAGGAUGAGCAGUCAGGAUAAUGACGAGAUGUACAGAACGACUCCACAGUUUAAAAGAAGCAGCCCACAGUGAUCAAAACAGGGUGAUUCUGACACGUGGGUUAAUACAUGAAUGAACUGGAAUACAGGUGGUCCCUGGCUUCCGGUGGUUCAUCAUGGCUUCUCGACUCCACGGUGUGGCACAGAGAAGUACUUUGGGUUAGAAAGUUGGUUUUUUACUUCAGAUUUUGAAUUGUGAUCUUUUCUGAGCUAGUCCUCUGUAAUAGGUCCUCUCUCGUGAUGCUGGGCAGAGGAAGCUCCCAUUCAGCCACAUAAUGAUGAGGGUAAACAAAAGAUAACACUUAAAAGCAUUCCAUUCCGUGUUUCACUUUCAGUACAGAAUUCCAUAAAUUACGUGAGAUAUUCGACACUUUAUUAUGAAUA